This 181-nucleotide unclassified non-coding RNA is filed under the name uncultured fungus. RNAcentral describes it as "sequence contains ITS1, 5.8S rRNA gene". Lineage: Eukaryota; Fungi. The record is from RNAcentral.
AUGAGUAAGGGUCUUCUAGGCCCGAUCUCCAACCCUUUGUAUAACUACCAUGUUGCUUUGGCGGGCCCGUCUUUAACCGGACCGCCGAGGGUUUUAGUUAACUCUUGGCCAGUGCUCGUCAGUAGCCCACAUUUAAAUUCUUUUUAACCAUGUUAAAUCUGAAAAAUAGUUAAAUAAACUA